RNAcentral lists this transfer RNA (64 nucleotides) under Cerradicola praeandina. RNAcentral's name for it is "Camptosema praeandinum partial tRNA-Phe". It matches the Rfam family "tRNA", at positions 1 to 58 of the family's 71-position model. From Rfam's summary of the family: Transfer RNA (tRNA) molecules are approximately 80 nucleotides in length. Lineage: Eukaryota; Viridiplantae; Streptophyta; Magnoliopsida; Fabales; Fabaceae. The record is from RNAcentral.
AUGGUCGGGAUAGCUCAGCUGGUARAGCARAGGACUGAAAAUCCUCGUGUCACCCAGUUCAAAU